RNAcentral lists this ribosomal RNA (253 nucleotides) under uncultured bacterium. Its description in RNAcentral is "partial 16S ribosomal RNA". It matches the Rfam family "Bacterial small subunit ribosomal RNA", at positions 524 to 776 of the family's 1533-position model. The record is from RNAcentral.
UACGAAGGGUGCAAGCGUUACUCGGAAUUACUGGGCGUAAAGCGUGCGUAGGUGGUUCGUUAAGUCUGAUGUGAAAGCCCUGGGCUCAACCUGGGAAUGGCAUUGGAAACUAACGGGCUCGAGUGUGGCAGAGGGGGGUGGAAUUCCACGUGUAGCAGUGAAAUGCGUAGAGAUGUGGAGGAACACCGAUGGCGAAGGCAGCCCCCUGGGCUAACACUGACGCUCAGGCACGAAAGCGUGGGGAGCAAACAGG